RNAcentral lists this ribosomal RNA (485 nucleotides) under uncultured bacterium. Its description in RNAcentral is "bacterial SSU rRNA". It matches the Rfam family "Bacterial small subunit ribosomal RNA", at positions 10 to 507 of the family's 1533-position model. The record is from RNAcentral.
AGUUUGAUCCUGGCUCAGAUUGAACGCUGGCGGCAUGCCUUGCACAUGCAAGUCGAACGGCAGCACGGGAGCAAUCCUGGUGGCGAGUGGCGAACGGGUGAGUAAUAUAUCGGAACGUGCCCAGUCGUGGGGGGAUAACGCAGCGAAAGCUGUGCUAAUACCGCAUACGAUCUCUGGAUGAAAGCGGGGGACUCGCAAGAGCCUCGCGCGAUUGGAGCGGCCGAUAUCAGAUUAGCUAGUUGGUGGGGUAAAAGCCCACCAAGGCGACGAUCUGUAGCUGGUCUGAGAGGACGACCGGCCACACUGGGACUGAGAUACGGCCCAGACUCCUACGGGAGGCAGCAGUGGGGAAUAUUGCACAAUGGGCGCAAGCCUGAUGCAGCGACGCCGCGUGAGGGAUGACGGCCUUCGGGUUGUAAACCUCUUUCAAUAGGGACGAAGCGCAAGUGACGGUACCUAUAGAAGAAGCACCGGCCAACUACGUG